ACUCUGUUUCUGGGUCACUCGCGAGGCGAGAGCCUCUGCUCGCCGUGGCAACUUCAGGUCAGAAUUCCAAAAGUUUCAUUCUAAAUCUUUCCAGGUUCAAUCUCAUUUUACAUUCUUUCCUAAUCAUUAUUAGACAUGUUCAGGCACUCAAAAGCAUCUAAGGAUCAACUCAAAAGUCAAAAUCACGAAAUCUUGCAUGCUCUCUGGUCAAGCUCGCUAGGCGAGUUCAUCU
RNAcentral lists this long non-coding RNA (232 nucleotides) under Medicago truncatula (barrel medic). Its description in RNAcentral is "long non-coding RNA (MTRU_LNC000570)". The record is from RNAcentral. Lineage: Eukaryota; Viridiplantae; Streptophyta; Magnoliopsida; Fabales; Fabaceae.